CGCCCCGCCCCCGCCCCUCGGCAGCACGUGCGCCUGGCGUCAUUUCCUGUUAUUCUCGUAGCUGCCUCGGCGGUCUGCAGCGGGUUCGCUCUGGACCGGCAUUUGGGGCGUGCCUGCUUCCUCUGGCAGGUGAGUGGGUUGGCGUUGUUCUUAGCGGCCGCCGAACCGCCUCACUUCCCGGGGUCUCCCAGUGUUUGAUGUUACACCUGGAGUCACCGAAGCGAAGGAAUUGCGCUGGAUUAGGCCAGGGUGGGCGAAUCUUCGCGGCUGUGGAGCCCCUCUGAGCACUUGGCCAGUCUCCUUGUGUUGGGAAUCUGGACCGCCUACGACAUCUCCAGUCCUCGGACACCAGCCCUUCCCGGGGAGCUUUCAGGGUCUGCACAUAAGCGAGGAGGUAUCAUCCUUGGCCAGAUCCCUGAGUGUGAGGCCGGAAUUGGAAUGGAAAGGUCUUCGCUUCUAAACCCCUGUUGUUUGAUGUGAAGCAACUGCCUUACUCUUGCUAAGUCUCAGUUUUUCCGCCUGUUAAUGUGAGGAAGUUGGACUGUAUCAGCAAAUCUCGUUUUUCUCAGGCAUGGACUCCUUUGAGAAUCUAGUGAGAACUAGACCUUCUCUACAUAAAAAGAAUGCAUAUAACCACUAAAUUUCGCAAAAAGGUUUGGGCAGUUCAUCUAAGUAGGUGAUUUUUAGGGAUCUUUCCAUUUGUAUGGCUCUGGCGAUUCCUCAGAAGAAAGGCAGAGAAGGGGUGAUCUGUGUAACAGUGGGUCACCCCCUCCAUCACCGGGACUGGUUCUGUUGAUCUAGCUAUGCUUCUCACCAGGCCCCAGCUCUGCUAAUGCACUUCUCCGAGCUUUGUGGGAAAACAUGGAUAAUAAAUAAAAUAAAAGUGGCUGCAGUUGGUUCCUGCCCGCCCCUUACACGUGUUGUUACCUAAACCGAAAAUGGACCCUCCCACCCCCAUUCCCCAAUGCUUAGGUAUAGUCACCUAACUAGACAGACUGCUUGAAAUAGUGUGUCUAACUUAACCACAGUCAGACCUUGGAAUGCCUGACCCUUGUGUCUAGGAAUGGAAUGUACAGGUCAUUGUAUAAGUUGGUUAAAUAUAAAUCAUGCAGUGGGCCCUGGGUAAUAAUUUUAAAUUCUUGUUCAUACCAGAGGCUAAAUAACUAACAGGGAAUGGAAAAAAAUACUGUUAGAAUUCUAAAGUUCCAACAUCACACCAAGUGAUGCUAAUAAUAAUGGUUACCUUUUACUACGAAGCAGCUAUGUACAUGUUCUCUCAAUAUUCCAGUGAUUUUACACAUUUUAUGAGUGAGAAUGACUGGGACUCAUAACUUGUUCUAGCUUCCCUUAUCCUAUGUCACACAGUGCUACUAAGUGACCCAGUCAGGAUUUAAUCUGUCUCAAAGCCUGUCCAUCCACUGCCUACCCCUCAACAUCUCUUAGAAAAGAAUAAAAAAGAGAAAUACAUGAUGCAUCUUUUUUCCCUGAAGUUGCCAAAUGAAUUGCAUUAAGAUCAAAUAUGUGUUUUUAAGCUGUCAUUUGAAAAUAUUGAUGCAGAUAAAAGUCAACAUAUCCUUGAGGGCAGGGACUGUAUGGAGAUCAAUAAUGAAUUCCCAAAGCCUAACACAGUUCCUAAAGGCUAGUAGGUGCAAAAUAUAAUUUUGGUGAAUUCUUCAUUUUACCUAUUUCCACCCAUUAUGGCAUUAAAUACCGAGAACCAAAAAGUUUCAAAGUGCUUCAUGUAAGCAUAUUUCCAUCAUAAAGUUAAGAUGCACUUCUGUGAAUGUGGGUCAUUACUCAGAAUAUUCAAAAGGUAAGAACCUCCUGGAAUACUGCAGUUUGCCAACUCACACCGUCUGAUGGCCUGAAAUUUCAAGUCAUUAUAUUUCAAGACUGGUUUACUGUCUGGUACCUCAUGACUUAGAAUGAGACAGAGAAGCUACAAAACAUGUGAUCAGAAGGAACAAACAGUCAGACUUGCCUCCUGCACCCCCAACACAGGAUUUUUACAGCCAUGAGAAAAACGCUGAGUUUAUGUGUAGAUUUUAUAGGUAUUGAGGAAGUUGUCUUGGUACUACCUGAAUGCACAUAGUAAUGCCAUUUAAUCAGAAUGCUAUAGUACCAGUAAAAUUCCUUCCUCCUUAACAAUACCUGUUACAUGUAUCUUGUAAAAGGCAACCUAAAAAAAUAAUUCCCCAACAACAUGUUGCCAUCCCACCUGUCAGUAAUCUAGAAGCGUAGCAUUGUUUUAAGGCUCAAAUUAAUUUAUUCCUUACCUUGACAUAAUUUUAAGAAUGACUUCAGAGUAGUGGACGGUAAUGACAAUGAUCAAUUGUAUCUUGAUGCACAAGGAUUCUCUCAUUUAAUCCUCAUAACCAACUUGUGAAACAGGUACUUUAUUAUGUCCAUUUUACAGCUGAGGAAACUUGGGCUCAGACCAAUUAGAUAACUUGUCCAUGGUUACACAGCUUGUAAGUACAGAAUUGAGAUUCAAACUAAGCCAUCUGACCCUACAGCCACCUUUCUGAUCACUGAGUUACACUGCUUUUCUUAGCCUCAAUCCCUUACACACCUUAAACUAAGUCAGGGAUACCUGCUUCCACCUAGAAAAUACCAGUGGGCUUGAGGAUAUUGGCUGCCCAGGGUCUGGGACUGUGUUCUAGCUACAGUUGUCUUGUGUGCCCUUGAACUCACCAGGAAUAUCUCCCCCUUUGGCCUUUUGUGUUUGAUGUUACCUCUGCUUAGAACAUUAUUCACCCACAACUCUUCUUUUCAUUCAAGUCUACUCGUGUCAUUUCCCCAUAGGGGCCUUCCUGGCUACCCCAGCAACCCCCUUCACUCUGUAUCCCUUUUCUUGGCUCUAACUCAUUGUAGUACUUACACUACCUCUGUAUAUCCAAAAGUGACAAAGGCCUCACUGGAAUAGAAGCUACCUAAGGACAGAGACUUCUGCCCGUUUUGUUUAUCACUACUUUUCUCAUUGACUCUAAAAUGUACUUUUCCCACAAUUUAGCACUCUGAAAAUCUAAAUGCAUCUGAUAAUUGACAGUGCCCUAGUUUAAUUGGUAACAUUUGUUUCUUUCUUAAUCAUCUCUACACUAAGUAGUGAAUCUUUAAAAUGAUGGUGUCUUAGAAUUGAUUAAAAUGCCAAUUAUCUCCAGGGCCUAAACUCUUGCCUAGCACAGAGUUGGCACUCAGUAAUUAUACUUGUUUAAUGAAAGUACUGAAUGUUCACUAUGUGCCAGCAAUUAUUUAAAUAUUUUUAAUCCCCACAAUUAUCCUGUUACGAAAUACUUUGUUAGCAAAGCAGUGUGAGGGUGGGGAUCAAAUGAGUGUUGAUCAUUUUGGAAGGCAGGGAGAGUGAAGAGAGCUGCUUCCUGCUCUGCUCUGCAGGAGGGCCGGUGGUGUGUCAGGUUGCCUUUGGUGUCCCCAGCUUCCACUUGUUUUUUCCACAUACCUUGGUGACUGCCUGCUGUGGGUGGAUGUCCAGAAGGGUUGCCUAGUCCAGUCUGGAGGUGCAGCGGGGUGUCUCAGAGAAGGCUUCCUUGUGGAGGUUUUGUCUAAAUUGGGUUUUGAAUGUCAGGCAUUGGCCUAGGAAGUGGGAAAGGAUGGAAAGAGACUGGAGAGAGUCCAGGUCAGCUCAAAGAGAGAAUCGUGUUAAGGAGCUUGGUUUUUGUCCUUGAGCAAAAUAGCAGUGUGCCAGUGGCCAGCUUAUAUUUCUCCGGCAGCCUCACGGGAAGUAGAUGGAGAGGAGGGAAAUGGAAGAGAGGCCAGUUAGAAGACAGUCGAAGUAAUCUAAGUGAAGGCCAGAACUGGAACAAUGGCUGAAGGGCUGUGCGGGGAGACCCUGGAGUCUAAAGAGACUGCAGGAUUUGUGGCUGAGUUGUCUGGCCCGAGUGAAUGGGUGGCCAGUAGGUUGGCACCAUUCACUAAGGAGGGAAAUCCAGGAAGCCAACAGGUUUAAGGAAAAGCGAGACAGUUUAGUUUUGGACGGAGGAGUUUGAAGGGCAAAUGAAAGCAAGAAUCGGGUCAUGAAGGGUCUGAAAGGCCAUGUCAAGGGGUUUAUUCUAAGAAACCUGAAAGCUAUAGAAGAAAAGGGAAGUGACUUUUAUUUUAGAAGGAUUACCCUGGUUUCAGCCUGGAUAGCACUGUGACUCAGGCUUGAGAGGGCAACGAUCUAAAGAGCAGGUGGCCAUAGGAAUGGAGAGCGAGUUAACAGAUUGAAAGUUGUAAUAGAUCAGGCUUUGGUGAGAAAUUGAAUAUGAACAGGAGGGGCAGAGAGAGAAAGUGGACAAUGAACAAUUUGCCUUCUAGUUUGAGCAACUGAGUGGGUUGCUGGUGCCUAUUUCUGAUGUAACUCUUGAAUCCAGUUGACAGCAGACAGACCAAUAACAGCAUUUAAAUGGAAUGUGAUAAUAAAAGCUACUAGUACUUUUAUAGCUCUUACUAUGUGUCAGAAAACUCAUUUUAAUCCUUGUAACAAUCCAAUGAGAUUACCAUUAUCACCUUCAUUUUCCAGACUAGGAAACUGAAGCAAAGAGAUGCCAAGUAACUUGCCUGGCAUCACACAGCUAGUAAGCCGUGGAGCUAGAAUCUGAGCCGAAGCAGUCUGGCUAAAGUCUGUACUCUCACUGCCACCUUAUGGUGAGAUGCCUUUGAACCGACGAGCUCAGUUUGGAUCUGUUGAACUCCAGAGAUAUGUGGAUAUAUCUGGGGGCAGGAAGAUACAUGAGUCUGAAACACAAGUCAGAGAUUUUGAGAUACAGAUCGUGGUCAGCGCGCAGAUGGCUGUUGCAGCCGCAGGAGAGGGUGGGUGCGCCAGCGAAUGAGACGGUGGGAAAUAAUAGGAAAGAAACAAGGGAGCCCUGGAAGGCAGGCACAAGCACUUCAGUUAUGGGGAGGGUAUAUUCCCUUCUGCAGGUUAAUAAAUUGGCAUCUGGUAUAUGUAUCAUCAAUCAGUAUUUUUUGAGUCCACCCCCCUGAAUCUGAUCAGCUCUGGACAACCUGACAUGGAGUUCUUGGACCCACAACCCUAAGGACCUGCCCUGGUCGUGGUGGCCCUUCCCACUCUCUCCUUGCCACUAGAUUCCACUCGGUGGCCUUUUGGCUUCCCAGGACAUCAGUUUUUGCCCCUCGCCACAGCGGAAGAGCCUCUAGCUGCUCUGUCUGCCACUGGCCAACUUUGUCAGCCCAGGGCCCUUCCUUACCUCCAGGACUCCAGAACACGUCACUUGGGAUUUCUUCAGGGGCCUCCUUAAGUUAUUUUUUAGCCUUUUACCCAUACAUUUCUAACUCCAAGUUAGGAAGUUUUGCAUGAGCAAAGUAGAGAAAAUGAACAGAUGAUUCACAGAAAAAGAAAUAUAAAUGGCCCUCAUGCAUGUGAAAAGAUGCUCAAUGUCAAUCUUCAAAGGAUAAAUGCUUGUUAAAAGUACAUGAGAUACCAAUUUUAACCUCUCAGAUUGGCAGCAAUCUCAAUUCCAGGGGGGCAGGGCAGCAGGCAACAGGCACUUUCAGACAUUGCGGGUGGGAUUGUGAAUUGACAAGAUCUAUCAAAAUGACGAGUCUAGGAUUCCACAAAUGCAGGUGACAUUUUUACAUACAUGUAAUGGCUUAUGUAAGAGGUUAUCCAUUGCAGCAUUGGUUGUAAUAGCAAAAGACUGGAAACACCCCAGGUGUCAGUAGAGGACUGGGCAUCUUCACUGGUGCAUCCACACUGGAGUACUGGGUAGCUGGGAAAAGAGGAAGCUCUUUGUGGACAGAGGAAUCAUUUCUAAAAUAUAGCAAGUGAAAAAAGCAAGAUGCUCCACUACGAAUAUAUUUUGUAUUGCUGUGUUGCAUUAAGAAACACUGAAAAGAUAUACAGGACACAAGUUUUUCAAGGAGUGGCAGGGGUAGGACAGUGGCAGGCAGGCAGACAUCAUAAAGUGGACCUUGCGUUCUGAGUUUUGGAUCCUGACACUGGAUUACCUAUGCAAAACCACCACCACCAAAAAUGUGAAGAGCUGCUGCCCGAAAGCUAUUGAGCUAAACCUUUAGUCACUCACGCUUACUAUACCUGCUGGUUUCAUAAUGGCUGGGUUUGGUUUUACACUUUGAGUGAAGCUCUAUCUUGGUAAGUCUUCAAUUCAUUCUACAUUUAAACUGUUGUAUCAUGGUUUCCUGGCUCAGCCUAACUCCCAAGAAUUCUUUCCUUGCCCUGCAUGUACUCUAAACCAAUUUUCACCCUCAAGUGUUAACAUUAGGAAGAUUUUGACUCUUACCUCACUGUGGACUUCAGAAAGUUAAAUUUAAAAUUCAGAGCUGAGCAGUGGCUUCCUGAGCAGCUAAAAGCAUUCAUUCUGUGGCUGGGGGGCUGCAGGCUUCUUAGGAAUCAGGAAUUAUCAUCAAAAAAAUAUAUUGGUUUUGAUCUCAAAAAAUGUUCUUUGCUUGACAGAUGAGCCCACCUCUCAGAUGGUAGGGCACUUUGACCAUCUCACCAAGGCCACAUAGAAUGGGUGAGGUACUUCUCCAAAGGAAAAAAUGGGUUGCUACUGCCCAAAGAAAGGGGUAGACAGGAUGUGCAGGCAAAAAUAACAAACGUCUCCUGUAGAUUUGGUAACAUCUGCUCACUGUUGCCCCCACAUCUGGAUCUCCUGCCCACAUGUCUCCUCAGCACACCUCUGUGUCCUGUAUCCUGCUGGUCAUCGACGUGGAUGUCCCACAAACACUGGUAAAAUGUCAUGUGUUCAGCAUAGGGCCAGUUCUCUUUCCCACUGAGCCUAGUCUUCUAGCCUUCCCCGAUCCUUUCCGUUUCACUGAAUCAAAUUGAAUUUGAUUUACCUCCUCCCACCUGUCUGGCUCCUAGGUUAUUUAAUACCCACCCACCCACCUCACCCCCA
Long non-coding RNA from Manis pentadactyla (Chinese pangolin), 6878 nucleotides. RefSeq lists it as uncharacterized. The transcript is spliced from 2 exons. Lineage: Eukaryota; Metazoa; Chordata; Mammalia; Pholidota; Manidae. The record is from RefSeq and is a predicted model, not a curated record.